Molecule: transfer RNA, 82 nt
Filed under: Candidatus Zixiibacteriota bacterium
Lineage: Bacteria; Pseudomonadati; Candidatus Zixiibacteriota
Description: tRNA-Leu
Rfam family: tRNA
About the family: Transfer RNA (tRNA) molecules are approximately 80 nucleotides in length. Their secondary structure includes four short double-helical elements and three loops (D, anti-codon, and T loops). Further hydrogen bonds mediate the characteristic L-shaped molecular structure. tRNAs have two regions of fundamental functional importance: the anti-codon, which is responsible for specific mRNA codon recognition, and the 3' end, to which the tRNAs corresponding amino acid is attached (by aminoacyl-tRNA synthetases). tRNAs cope with the degeneracy of the genetic code in two manners: having more than one tRNA (with a specific anti-codon) for a particular amino acid; and 'wobble' base-pairing, i.e. permitting non-standard base-pairing at the 3rd anti-codon position.
Source: RNAcentral
GCGGAAGUGGCGGAACUGGCAGACGCGCCAUCUUGAGGGGGUGGUGCCGAAAGGCGUGGGGGUUCAAGUCCCCCCUUCCGCA